GGGUUUAAGUAGUUAUUGAGAUAUUACAGGUCAGGGUUUUAGUAGGUAUUGAGAUAUUACACGUUUUAGUAGUUAUUGACAUAUUACAUGUCAGGGUUUUAGUAGUUAUUGAGAUAUUACAGGUCAGGGUUUUAGUAGUUAUUGAGAUAUUACAGGGUUUUAGUAGUUAUUGAGAUAUUACACGUUUUAGUAGUUAUUGAGAUAUUACACGUUUUAGUAGUUAUUGAGAUAUUACAGGGUUUUAGUAGUUAUUGAGAUAUUACAGGUUUUAGUAGU
RNAcentral lists this long non-coding RNA (276 nucleotides) under Salmo salar (Atlantic salmon). RNAcentral's name for it is "lncRNA (ENSSSAG00000108846.1)". Lineage: Eukaryota; Metazoa; Chordata; Actinopteri; Salmoniformes; Salmonidae. The record is from RNAcentral.